GCUGGGCACAGUGGCUCGUGCCUGUAAUCUCAGCACUUUGGGAGGCUGAGGUGGGUGGAUCGCCUGAGGUCAGGAGUUCGAGACCAGCCUGGCCAACAUGGCGACACCCCGUCUCUACUAAAAAUACAAAAAUUAGCUGGGCAUGGUGGCGGACGCCUGUAAUCCCAGCUACUCAAGAAGCUGAGGCAGGAGAAUCACUUGAACUCAGGAGACGUUGCAGUGAGUUGGGAUUGUGCCACUGUACUCCAGCCUGGGCGACAAGGUGAGACUCUGUCUUA
Molecule: small RNA, 278 nt
Filed under: Nomascus leucogenys (northern white-cheeked gibbon)
Lineage: Eukaryota; Metazoa; Chordata; Mammalia; Primates; Hylobatidae
Description: Metazoan signal recognition particle RNA (ENSNLEG00000028869.1)
Rfam family: Metazoan signal recognition particle RNA (bases 1-117)
Source: RNAcentral